This 21-nucleotide non-coding RNA is filed under the name Arabidopsis thaliana (thale cress). The record is from RNAcentral. Lineage: Eukaryota; Viridiplantae; Streptophyta; Magnoliopsida; Brassicales; Brassicaceae.
UCCGUGGUUUCGCGUAUCGGC